Molecule: long non-coding RNA, 1300 nt
Organism: Carassius auratus (goldfish)
Lineage: Eukaryota; Metazoa; Chordata; Actinopteri; Cypriniformes; Cyprinidae
Exons: 2
Source: RefSeq, a predicted model, not a curated record
GUUUGUGGCUGUUAUUGCAAACUCAGAUCUUUUUUUUUCUUUAACAUUUCACAACUACUUUAACACAUAUAGUGUUGUCUCUUAACCUCCAGAUAUUUCCUGCUCUAAAGCCUGCGUGUUAUCUUCCCCCUUUUACUUCCUCCUUAUGCUGGCAGCUUAUUAGUGAUCACACACAUGCUGUCCGCUUCACACAAACACUCUUCAGUGCCUGAUCAUACAUGCCCCGAAGAGCACACGUCCCCGUGGACGGGCCACCCCGAGCAGCCCUGUGGAUCGCACCAAUUGUGUUGCAAGGAACGCAAAAGGUCUAUCCAUGCAUCUACUGGUCUCUCUCUGAUCUAGACUCUUCUCUUAGAGUAUUUGACAGACUGUGGUUGACACUCAAUUUAAGGGGGUGUCAGUUUGUCAAAUACCCCAAGAGAGGGGGCACGAGUCUCCAAAGUUCUCCAUCACCUGGUUUGAUACAAGCAAACCCCGUUAUACCUCAUGUUCAACCGCAUGCAGCAGCGCAUGUGUAAGUUUAGCUACUUUUGCUCAGUGCUGUGUAGAUUGCUUACAAAUUGUAGUCUUUUACAUGAUGAAAAUUGUAGUCAGAAAUGUAAUCCAUUUUAAGUAAUUCUUUCAGACUACUUUUUGGUUACUUUAAAAUUACUUUUGACCUAACUUUAUAGAUUUUUGUUUAUAGAUUUGAAUGGGAUUCUUGUUAGAAAAAGCAAAGAUAAAUAAAGUAUAUUCCAUUCUGUUAUCUACAUCAUGAAACACAUUAAAUGUUACAUUACUCCAGGGUUUCACAAACUAUAGGGUAAAUGAAAAAAGUGCAGAUGAUUUCUAAGUUUAUUUAAAAAAUAUUAAUUGAAUCAUAUUUUUUUAAAUAAAUCAUUUAAAUAAAAUGUUUAUGUUUACCUGCAUGUCAGUGUGACAUUAGAUAACUGUGAACAUGAGAAUGUGUUGUUAAAUUAUUAUAUAUAAAAGUUAACAUGGUAUAAUUGUCUGAGAGUUGCUUUCAUCAUCAGAAGCACGGAUUGCAUAUUAAUUUACAUUUAUGUGGCCAUUCUAUAUUGUGCAUUUUCAAAGAUAAAUGAUAUGUCACUAGAAUUUUUAGCAAAUAACUGUAAUAUGAUUAUGAGCAAUUUAAAAUGUAACAUACCAGUAACCUAUAUAAAAUAAGAAGAAGCAUAUGGUGUUUUCCAUGUAAUCUUUUCAUUUAUAGUGUGUGUGUGUUUGUAUUUAUUUGCUAUGUUGCUGCAAUCUUAUUGGAUGGAAAAACAGGUAGUUUGGAUAAAUAAAUAAAAAAAGAAAC